GACCAGUGCUAUAUAGCAACUUUAAUAAGUGAUGAAGUAGCAGCAGUAGCAUGUAGAAUCGAAUCCUCGAGCGGUUCCGUCCCAUCUCAGCAGGCAGUCUCGCUCCCAGAGUUCGGGACCCACCCUCCGGAGGCAUUCUUGCCACUCAACUGCCAUUUUGGCUCAUUCAUCUUUUCGUCAAAUCCUAAGAGAAGGGGCAUAACAAAGAAGCUCUUCCUCUACUGGCGAU
This 229-nucleotide long non-coding RNA is filed under the name Elaeis guineensis (African oil palm). RNAcentral's name for it is "long non-coding RNA (EGUI_LNC035200)". Lineage: Eukaryota; Viridiplantae; Streptophyta; Magnoliopsida; Arecales; Arecaceae. The record is from RNAcentral.